CUGGCGGCAGCCUACACAUGCAAGUCGAACGCCCCGCAAGGGGAGUGGCAGACGGGUGAGUAACGCGUGGGAACAUGCCCUUUGGUUCGGAAUAACUCAGGGAAACUUGAGCUAGUACCGGAUAAGCCCGAGAGGGGAAAGAUUUAUCGCCGAAGGAUUGGCCCGCGUCCGAUUAGCUAGUUGGUGAGGUAACGGCUCACCAAGGCGACGAUCGGUAGCUGGUCUGAGAGGAUGAUCAGCCACACUGGGACUGAGACACGGCCCAGACUCCUACGGGAGGCAGCAGUGGGGAAUAUUGGACAAUGGGCGCAAGCCUGAUCCAGCCAUGCCGCGUGAGUGAUGAAGGCCCUAGGGUUGUAAAGCUCUUUCGCCAGGGACGAUAAUGACGGUACCUGGAUAAGAAGCCCCGGCUAACUUCGUGCCAGCAGCCGCGGUAAU
RNAcentral lists this ribosomal RNA (438 nucleotides) under uncultured bacterium. RNAcentral's name for it is "bacterial SSU rRNA". It matches the Rfam family "Bacterial small subunit ribosomal RNA", at positions 36 to 524 of the family's 1533-position model. The record is from RNAcentral.